Molecule: ribosomal RNA, 492 nt
Filed under: uncultured bacterium
Lineage: Bacteria
Description: partial 16S ribosomal RNA
Rfam family: Bacterial small subunit ribosomal RNA
Source: RNAcentral
AGUGAACGCUGGCGGUAGGCCUAACACAUGCAAGUCGAACGGCAGCACAGUAAGAGCUUGCUCUUACGGGUGGCGAGUGGCGGACGGGUGAGGAAUACAUCGGACUCUACUUUUUCGUGGGGGAUAACGUAGGGAAACUUACGCUAAUACCGCAUACGACCUACGGGUGAAAGCAGGGGAUCUUCGGACCUUGCGGGAUUGAAUGCGCCGAUGUCGGAUUAGCUAGUUGGCGGGGUAAAGGCCCACCAAGGCGACGAUCCGUAGCUGGUCUGAGAGGAUGAUCGGCCGCACUGGAACUGAGACACGGUCCAGACGCCUACGGGAGGCAGCAGUGGGGAAUAUUGGACAAUGGGCGCAAGCCUGAUCCAGCCAUACCGCGUGGGUGAAGAAGGCCUUCGGGUUGUAAAGCCCUUUUGUUGGGAAAGAAAAGCAGCAGGUUAAUACCCCGCUGUUCUGACGGUACCCAAAGAAUAAGCACCGGCUAACUUCGUG